Cricetulus griseus (Chinese hamster) is the source of this 2503-nucleotide non-coding RNA. NCBI's taxonomy places the organism in Eukaryota, Metazoa, Chordata, Mammalia, Rodentia, Cricetidae. The record is from RefSeq and is a predicted model, not a curated record.
GAGCACCGCGCGCGCUGCGUGAGAGCCUGCAGGUGCCCAGGGCUGUGGCUUUGUGUGGUGGCUUGGGCGACCCCUAGGGAAAAGCUGGCACACAGUAAGUACCCCCAAACCAUUUGCUGGAGGGAUGAACAGGCAGGUAAGUCGACAGGGGCGGACUUCCAAAGGCCACCGCAUGUUGGCAACUGAAUGAAGAAUAAAAGCCGAUCUCCCUGCAACCCUGGUAGAAGCCUUGCUGGCCCAGGCCCAGUUUCCUUCCUCCUUCCUCCAGGAACCACGGCCUUUGGGUUCUCUGGACAGGAAACCUGUCUCCCUGUGUCUGCUGGUUCUUCCACCCAGAGACAUCAGCUUGUGAUCAAAUGUCACCAUCAGACAGAAGUUGUUCUCCUCUCCCCUAUGCCGCCUCUGCUUGAUAGUCAAUUUCAUAUUAUCUAACGAAUUUUCUAAUAACAAUUCUCAAUAGAAGUCUGUGAUGUUCUGGACAAUGGCGGAGAGGUGGAAUUCUGACUGGCUGGGAUUAUCACAACGUUAAGAACUGGUUGAGGACCAGAGGGGUAAGCCCCAUGGGCCAGGUUGCCCAGCUCUGUCUUCAUGGAACCUAGGAUACUCACUAGCUGUGAGUUACAAGAGUUACUCAGAAGCCACUCCUGCCCUGGGGUCAUCGCCCACCUACCCCAUCUGAAGGGGACUACAGGGCACUGACUCCUCUGCACCCGCAGUGAAGGUUAAUCAGGCAGAUCAGCCCUGGCCUUGGUCCCUUGCUGACUGUGAAGCUGGGGCCACAUGCUGCCAGGUGGAACUCAGCAGGCUCCAUCCCGGGAGUGGGAGCAUUGGGAGAGGUCUUGGCCAGGAAUACUGGGAGCUACCUUCAGGUUCUAGCAGCUUCCUCAGCACUGUCCUGGAAGACGAGCUGAGUGGGGAUCCUUCCACACCAUCCACACACCGUCUAGCCCCUCCUAUACCAUCCACACACACCCCUCCCUUCACACCCCCCACCCACACCAUCCACACCCCCCACCAUCCACACCCCUCCCACACUAUCUACACACCCUCCCAGCUGGGCAGCCUUAUGCAACUUUCUUUCCCACUCUGAGCCUCUGGUUCUGCCUCCACAGUCCUCCCUCCAGGAUCAUGGACUGUUGCCUUGUGUGUGAGCUUGCCUUUGAAAGCAUUUUGUGAGCCUGGCUUGUCAAGUUGGCAGACAAAUGUCUGCCAGCACUCUGGAGAGGGAUAUCUCAUAUAAAGAAUCUCAUGUCUUGCUUCUUGUGGAACACUUCAAGAUCGGCUACUUUGUGCCUGAGUUCCUGCAGUGGUGAAGGAAUGCUGGAGUUCUGCAGAACCUCCUCUGAGCACCUGAUGCCAGCCCAUCCCCACCCCGGGGGUCAGGGUGUGUCUCUCACCAAGACACUGAGUACUAGUGGUUGUGUUAGUUUUGACUUCCCUUCCAUCACUGGGGCCUUCUGACUUGUUUUCAUGCAAGCAACAUUUAAAGGAGACACACAGCCGUACUAUAAAGGUCCCUGGCUGUUCAUAUUCAACUUUGCCCCACCUACCAAUACAGUGAAGCAGCCAGACCUGACUCAUCAUAUAGAUUAAUAAAUCUUCAGAUUAUGGUAGGAAUUGGGAGGGGAUAUGGUUUCUAAUAUUCAGGCCUUCCUCUAGAAAGUGGGAGCCAUGGAGUAGAAGAAAAGUGGAUGCAGCCACACUGUGUGCAGCAGUUAGAGGCGAGGUAAAAAAAAAAAAAAAAAAAAAGCAGUAGGCACAGCAAUGGCCACGAGGAGGUCUGAGGAGAAGGCUCUCACAAGAGCUCAGGGACUCAAUAUAAAAAGAGGUCUGACAAGGUUCAUCCCUUUCCCCAGGUGAUGGGUGUUACCUUCCUAGUCCACUUCUUGCUCAGUUGGGAGAGGAGGGCAUAGAGGGAUCAGGAGGGUCCUAGGGCUUGCAGCUUCCAGGGCAGAACAGUGCCUAGGAUUUCCCAGGGUAUAGGCAGCCUAAGGCUGGUGAUCAGGCCAGAGACAAGACCUGGGAUGAAAGUAAACAAAAAUCCAAGGCUCAGUGUAGGGCCAGAGGUCAGGCCACCUGUGGAGACUGAGGUGCAGGACUGGUUGUUACAGCACACAGGGGUUCCACUUUGGACUCAGUGCAGAGCACCCAUGUUCCCCCAAACCCCCAGCCUGGUGGAGCAAGAUGCAUUAGCUGAGGAUAGGGACAUAACUCAGACCUAGGAGAAUCACACCCGGACACUCAUCUAUUCCCUCAGGCUCUGUCCUCUUGGUCAGAGCUUGGAGCUGCUGCUACCAUCUUUGUGCCACACAGGGACACAGAGCUGAGAGAGAGAGAGAAAGAGAGAGAGAGAGAGAGAGAGAGAGAGAGAGAGAGAGAGAGAGAGAGAGAGAGAGAGAAGUGAGAGACUGUGCUAUUAUGUACUAUGCUAUGUAUUUUGUUUGGUUGACUUUUUUGUGUUUGUUUUUCUUUUUCUUUCUUUCUUUCUUUCUUUUUUUUUUUU